This 852-nucleotide ribosomal RNA is filed under the name uncultured fungus. Its description in RNAcentral is "SSU rRNA". It matches the Rfam family "Eukaryotic small subunit ribosomal RNA", at positions 612 to 1494 of the family's 1831-position model. The record is from RNAcentral. Lineage: Eukaryota; Fungi.
GUUGUGGUUAAAAAGCUCGUAGUUGAACCUUGGGCCUGGCUGGCCGGUCCGCCUCACCGCGUGUACUGGUCCGGCCGGGCCUUUCCCUCUGUGGAACCUCAUGCCCUUCACUGGGUGUGGCGGGGAAACAGGACUUUUACUUUGAAAAAAUUAGAGUGCUCCAGGCAGGCCUAUGCUCGAAUACAUUAGCAUGGAAUAAUAGAAUAGGACGUGCGGUUCUAUUUUGUUGGUUUCUAGGACCGCCGUAAUGAUUAAUAGGGACAGUCGGGGGCAUCAGUAUUCAAUUGUCAGAGGUGAAAUUCUUAGAUUUAUUGAAGACUAACUACUGCGAAAGCAUUUGCCAAGGAUGUUUUCAUUAAUCAGGAACGAAAGUUAGGGGAUCGAAGACGAUCAGAUACCGUCGUAGUCUUAACCAUAAACUAUGCCGACUAGGGAUCGGACGGUGUUAUUUUUUGACCCGUUCGGCACCUUACGAGAAAUCAAAGUGCUUGGGCUCCAGGGGGAGUAUGGUCGCAAGGCUGAAACUUAAAGAAAUUGACGGAAGGGCACCACCAGGGGUGGAGCCUGCGGCUUAAUUUGACUCAACACGGGGAAACUCACCAGGUCCAGACACAAUGAGGAUUGACAGAUUGAGAGCUCUUUCUUGAUUUUGUGGGUGGUGGUGCAUGGCCGUUCUUAGUUGGUGGAGUGAUUUGUCUGCUUAAUUGCGAUAACGAACGAGACCUUAACCUGCUAACUAGCCCGUAUUGCUUUGGCAGUACGCCGGCUUCUUAGAGGGACUAUCGGCUCAGCCCGAUGGAAGUUUGAGGCAAUAACAGGUCUGUGAUGCCCUUAGAUGUUCUGGGCGCACGC